GCAACAGUCCACAUUUGAAUUAAUCUUAGAGAGAGAUGACUUUACAGGCUGCGCAACACCUAAUGGGUUGGCCCAAAAGUUCGUCAGAUUUUUCCAUAAGCUCUUAUCGGAAAAUCCAAAUGAACUUUCUGGCCAACCCAAUACUACUAAAGGUACAAAUGUAAGCGACAACCACCAAGUCAACCCUCCAAGGACAGAUAUUCACUGUGGCAGGCACCGCUGUUCCUGUUCCCCCAGGAGGAGAGGACUAACAUGCCUACAUCCUUCCUCUGAAACUCUCUCCCUGUCAUUCAUUUGGCCACGCCAAAUGAUGAGAUUGGAAAAGACUGUCUACAGACCAUCAUGGAAGGAAGACCAUCUGCAUGGAAAGAAUUCGUUUCCUUCCUAUUAUUUGUGCAAACUGAAAUAGGUCAAAACACAUUUCAUCUCCGUUUUUUUUUUUUUGCUCUCUCCAUUUCAUCAUCUUACAAGUACUCUUCAAUUCCCUCCACCUGUCUCACUUGCCAAAGUCUUCAUUCAAGUUCUUCCUCAAUAAAAAUAUUUAAUGGUCUUCUCUUGCCUAAGUUUCCCAAAUGAACAAAGCCAAGGGAAAGGUCUUCUGGGGAUAAAAUAUUUUAAAUGUUUUUAAGUGAAAUAUGAAAAAGACCAAUGGUCUAUAUAUCAAACUUAACAUGAAUCUCAUAUGGCAUGAAAAUAAGUCAUUUUUCUUCUAUAAGUCACUAGAUCUGACAUCUAAGUUGAUUACUUACAAUUUUAUCCACUGAUUAAUCCAUUUAUUUGUUCAACACAAAUUUAUUGAGUACCUUCUAUAAGGCAGGCAUUGUUCCAGGCCAGUAACAUGCCUCGAGUGAACCAAAACAGACAAAAAUGUCUGCUCCUGGAGAGAAGACAUUCUAUUGCGGGGAGUCAGAUAAACAAACAAGUAAAAUACUGUCUGUUAUUCAGAAUUUUAAUUUCAGAAGAAUAAUGUUAAGAUUGAGAGGAAACUGUCAGGGGUAAUUGUUCUGCCAAAGCUGUACUGAUUCAUGUUGCAAACUUUCAUGGAUGUGGUAAUUAUCCUUAAUUGCUAAUUUAUAGGGCAUAAAAAGCAAUUCAUAUGGUAACUGCUUUAUCCAAUUAUAUUAAUAAAAUGACAUAUUCUAGAGAAACGAUCUGAUCUUAGCCCUACCUGAUACACCAGGAGGUUUGUGAAAACAGCUGUCACAACGAGUCAGUUUGAUUGAGGUCAUGAAUUAGGACAGUUCUCAGCUCUGCCAAUAAAGGUUACAGGGAAACGUGGUGUGAUUCAGAGGACCUGGCUUCAGGGCACCAGUCCGAGGCUGACAAAGACUGAAACAAGACAGCUGAGAAGGAAAACGGGGACUCAAACUGAUCAAACCCACUAAGAGUUUACUAGGAGAGUUACCUAACAGUGACAUACUUUAUAGGCCGCAACUGAAGUACUGCUCAGCAACAGCAACCCCACCUUAAAUCAUCACUAGAUACUGACAAAUGACUUGGUUUAACACUUAAACUCCCAGACCACAAACACCAGAAGACAGAAAAUCUCUAAUGCAAACACCUAGCCACACUACACUUAGGGCAAAAAAAGUGAUGGUACAGAAAACCACACGAUGUUCUUAGCUGCUCAGGAAUGUCCAACUCUUUGCGACCCCAUGGACGCACUCUCCACGGGGCUUCUCCAGGCAAGAAUUCUGGAGUGGGUUGCCAUGCCCUCUUUCAGGGGAUAUGCCCAACCCAGGGAUCGAACCCAGGUCUCCUGCACUGCAAGCAGAUUCUUU
This 1781-nucleotide long non-coding RNA is filed under the name Capra hircus (goat). Its description in RNAcentral is "lncRNA (ENSCHIG00010022141.1)". The record is from RNAcentral. Lineage: Eukaryota; Metazoa; Chordata; Mammalia; Artiodactyla; Bovidae.